AACGGCGAGUGAAGCGGCAACAGCUCAAAUUUGAAAGCUGGCUCCUUUGGAGUCCGCGUUGUAAUUUGUAGAGGAUGAUUCGGCAAGGGCUCCCGCCUAAGUCUCCUGGAACGGAGCGUCAUAGAGGGUGAGAAUCCCGUAUGCGGUGGGCUGCCUAAGCCAUGUGAAUCUCCUUCGACGAGUCGAGUUGUUUGGGAAUGCAGCUCUAAAUGGGAGGUAAAUUUCUUCUAAAGCUAAAUACCGGCCAGAGACCGAUAGCGCACAAGUAGAGUGAUCGAAAGAUGAAAAGCACUUUGGAAAGAGAGUUAAAAAGUACGUGAAAUUGUUGAAAGGGAAGCGCUUGCAGCCAGACUUGUCCGCAGUUGCUCAGCCGGUCUCCUGACCGGUGUACUCUUCUGCGGCCAGGCCAGCAUCAGUUCGGGCGGUCGGAUAAAGACCUCGGGAAUGUAGCUCCUCUCGGGGAGUGUUAUAGCCCGGGGUGGAAUGCGGCCAGCCUGGACUGAGGAUCUCGCUUCGGCUAGGAUGCUGGCGUAAUGGCUGUAAGCGGCCCGUCUUGAAACACGGACCAAGGAGUCUAACAUCUAUGCGAGUGUUUGGGUGUCAAACCCAUGCGCGUAAUGAAAGUGAACGGAGGUGGGAACCCUCACGGGUGCACCAUCGACCGAUCCUGAUGUCUUCGGAUGGAUUUGAGUAAGAGCAUAGCUGUUGGGACCCGAAAGAUGGUGAACUAUGCCUGAAUAGGGUGAAGCCAGAGGAAACUCUGGUGGAGGCUCGCAGCGGUUCUGACGUGCAAAUCGAUCGU
This 802-nucleotide ribosomal RNA is filed under the name Botryosphaeria sp. Its description in RNAcentral is "partial large subunit ribosomal RNA". It matches the Rfam family "Eukaryotic large subunit ribosomal RNA", at positions 85 to 905 of the family's 3401-position model. The record is from RNAcentral. Lineage: Eukaryota; Fungi; Ascomycota; Dothideomycetes; Botryosphaeriales; Botryosphaeriaceae.